AGUGAACGCUGGCGGUAGGCCUAACACAUGCAAGUCGAACGGCAGCACAGGAGAGCUUGCUCUCUGGGUGGCGAGUGGCGGACGGGUGAGGAAUACAUCGGAAUCUACUCUGUCGUGGGGGAUAACGUAGGGAAACUUACGCUAAUACCGCAUACGACCUACGGGUGAAAGCAGGGGACCUUCGGGCCUUGCGCGAUUGAAUGAGCCGAUGUCGGAUUAGCUAGUUGGCGGGGUAAAGGCCCACCAAGGCGACGAUCCGUAGCUGGUCUGAGGGGAGUAUAGGCCACACUGGAACUGGCACAGGGUCCAGACUCCUGCGGGAGGCAGCAGUGGGGCAUAUUGGAAAAUGGGCGCAAGCCUGAUCCAGCCAUACCGCGUGGGUGAAGAAGGCCUUCGGGUUGUAAAGCCCUUUUGUUGGGAAAGAAAUCCAGCUGGCUAAUACCCGGUUGGGAUGACGGUACCCAAAGAAUAAGCACCGGCUAACUUCGUGCCAGCAGCCGCCGUAA
Molecule: ribosomal RNA, 506 nt
Filed under: uncultured bacterium
Lineage: Bacteria
Description: partial 16S ribosomal RNA
Rfam family: Bacterial small subunit ribosomal RNA
Source: RNAcentral